Molecule: ribosomal RNA, 755 nt
Filed under: Salmonella enterica subsp. enterica serovar Bareilly
Lineage: Bacteria; Pseudomonadati; Pseudomonadota; Gammaproteobacteria; Enterobacterales; Enterobacteriaceae
Description: partial 23S ribosomal RNA
Rfam family: Bacterial large subunit ribosomal RNA
Source: RNAcentral
CGCUGUGAAGAUGCAGUGUACCCGCGGCAAGACGGAAAGACCCCGUGAACCUUUACUAUAGCUUGACACUGAACAUUGAGCCUUGAUGUGUAGGAUAGGUGGGAGGCUUUGAAGUGUGGACGCCAGUCUGCAUGGAGCCGACCUUGAAAUACCACCCUUUAAUGUUUGAUGUUCUAACGUGGACCCGUUACCCGGGUUGCGGACAGUGUCUGGUGGGUAGUUUGACUGGGGCGGUCUCCUCCUAAAGAGUAACGGAGGAGCACGAAGGUUGGCUAAUCCUGGUCGGACAUCAGGAGGUUAGUGCAAUGGCAUAAGCCAGCUUGACUGCGAGCGUGACGGCGCGAGCAGGUGCGAAAGCAGGUCAUAGUGAUCCGGUGGUUCUGAAUGGAAGGGCCAUCGCUCAACGGAUAAAAGGUACUCCGGGGAUAACAGGCUGAUACCGCCCAAGAGUUCAUAUCGACGGCGGUGUUUGGCACCUCGAUGUCGGCUCAUCACAUCCUGGGGCUGAAGUAGGUCCCAAGGGUAUGGCUGUUCGCCAUUUAAAGUGGUACGCGAGCUGGGUUUAGAACGUCGUGAGACAGUUCGGUCCCUAUCUGCCGUGGGCGCUGGAGAACUGAGGGGGGCUGCUCCUAGUACGAGAGGACCGGAGUGGACGCAUCACUGGUGUUCGGGUUGUCAUGCCAAUGGCACUGCCCGGUAGCUAAAUGCGGAAGAGAUAAGUGCUGAAAGCAUCUAAGCACGAAACUUGCCCCGAG